GCGAACGCUGGCGGCAGGCCUAACCCAUGCCAGUCGAACGAACUCUUCGGAGUUAGUGGCGGACGGGUGAGUCACACGUGGGAACGUGCCUUUUGGUUCGGAAUAACUCAGGGAAACUUGUGCUAAUACCGAAUGUGCCCUUCGGGGGAAAGAUUUAUCGCCAUUAGAGCGGCCCGCGUCUGAUUAGCUAGUUGGUGAGGUAACGGCUCACCAAGGCGACGAUCAGUAGCUGGUCUGAGAGGAUGACCAGCCACACUGGGACUGAGACACGGCCCAGACUCCUACGGGAGGCAGCAGUGGGGAAUCUUGCGCAAUGGGCGAAAGCCUGACGCAGCCAUGCCGCGUGAAUGAUGAAGGUCUUAGGAUUGUAAAAUUCUUUCACCGGGGACGAUAAUGACGGUACCCGGAGAAGAAGCCCCGGCUAACUUCGUG
RNAcentral lists this ribosomal RNA (432 nucleotides) under uncultured bacterium. RNAcentral's name for it is "partial 16S ribosomal RNA". It matches the Rfam family "Bacterial small subunit ribosomal RNA", at positions 29 to 507 of the family's 1533-position model. The record is from RNAcentral.